AUGGCUCGCCUUUCGCGGCUCUACCUCCUCGCCUACAACUCCCUGCAGGCCAUCGGAUGGUCCGUCGCCCUGCUCCGUCUCCUCCCCUGCCUCGCCCCUCCCGUCUCCGUCCGCCCCGCGUACGCCGCCGCCGGCGACCUCAUAUGCUUUCUGCAGACCUGCGCGGUUCUUGAGACCGUCCAUGCCGCCGUCGGAUUGGUACCCACCUCGCCGUUUCUUGUUUUCCUGCAAUGGGGAGGGAGGACACACUUCAUCCUCGCCCUUCUCCGGCAAACCCCUGAGGUUCAGGGCAGUCCCUCUGUGUUAAUAACGUUUAUGGCUUGGAGCAUAUCUGAGGUCAUUCGAUACUCUCACUAUGCUCUGACUACGUUAAAAGUUUGUCCAGCAUGGCUGACUUACCUCAGUGUGCCUACAAAGACACUUUUCCUUAAUCUUGUAAUCCACUGUUGUGCUCUACUCUCCUUGCCAUGUCUGCAUGCAAUGUGGACUAUGUACCAAGCUCUUCCAUUUGUAAAGGAGAGGGACCUCUACUCAGGCUUCUUUGCAAAGUUCUCCAUGAGCUACCAUUCUUUUCUGGUGGGUGUGCUGCUGUGCUAUCCACUGCUGUGGCUGAAGCUGUACCUGCAUGUGUUCAAGCAGCGCAAGUCCAAGCUGGGAAAGGUGGACAAGAAGAAACGGGCAUGA
RNAcentral lists this ribosomal RNA (684 nucleotides) under Triticum aestivum (bread wheat). Its description in RNAcentral is "partial small subunit ribosomal RNA". Lineage: Eukaryota; Viridiplantae; Streptophyta; Magnoliopsida; Poales; Poaceae. The record is from RNAcentral.